RNAcentral lists this ribosomal RNA (460 nucleotides) under uncultured bacterium. RNAcentral's name for it is "partial 16S ribosomal RNA". It matches the Rfam family "Bacterial small subunit ribosomal RNA", at positions 338 to 795 of the family's 1533-position model. The record is from RNAcentral.
CCUACGGGUGGCAGCAGUGAGGAAUAUUGGUCAAUGGGCGCGAGCCUGAACCAGCCAAGUAGCGUGAAGGAUGACUGUCCUACGGGUUGUAAACUUCUUUUAUCAAGGAAUAAAGUGAGGCACGCGUGCCUUUUUGUAUGUACCUUAUGAAAAAGCAUCGGCUAACUCCGUGCCAGCAGCCGCGGUAAUACGGAGGAUCCGAGCGUUAUCCGGAUUUAUUGGGUUUAAAGGGAGCGUAGAUGGGUUGUUAAGUCAGUUGUGAAAGUUUGCGGCUCAACCGUAAAAUUGCAAUUGAUACUGGCAGCCUUGAGUACAGGUGAGGUAGGCGGAAUUCGUGGUGUAGCGGUGAAAUGCUUAGAUAUCACGAAGAACUCCGAUUGCGAAGGCAGCUUACUAAACUGCCACUGACAUUGAUGCUCGAAAGUGUGGGUAUCAAACAGGAUUAGAUACCCGAGUAGUC